UACGUAGGGUGCGAGCGUUGUCCGGAAUUAUUGGGCGUAAAGAGCUUGUAGGCGGUUUGUCGCGUCUGCUGUGAAAAUCCGGGGCUCAACCCCGGACUUGCAGUGGGUACGGGCAGACUAGAGUGUGGUAGGGGAGGCUGGAAUUCCUGGUGUAGCGGUGGAAUGCGCAGAUAUCAGGAGGAACACCGAUGGCGAAGGCAGGUCUCUGGGCCACUACUGACGCUGAGAAGCGAAAGCAUGGGGAGCGAACAGG
RNAcentral lists this ribosomal RNA (253 nucleotides) under uncultured bacterium. RNAcentral's name for it is "partial 16S ribosomal RNA". It matches the Rfam family "Bacterial small subunit ribosomal RNA", at positions 524 to 776 of the family's 1533-position model. The record is from RNAcentral.